GACGAACGCUGGCGGCGUGCUUAACACAUGCAAGUCGAACGGAAAGGCCCUGCGUUUGUGAGGUUCUCGAGUGGCGAACGGGUGAGUAACACGUGAGUAACCUGCCCUUGACUUUGGGAUAACUUCAGGAAACUGGGGCUAAUACCGGAUAGGAGCUCCUGCUGCAUGGUGGGGGUUGGAAAGUUUCGGCGGUUGGGGCUGGACUCGCGGCUUAUCAGCUUGUUGGUGGGGUAGUGGCUUACCAAGGCUUUGACGGGUAGCCGGCCUGAGAGGGUGACCGGCCACAUUGGGACUGAGAUACGGACCAGACUCCUACGGGCGGCAGCAGUGGGGAAUAUUGCACAAUGGGCGGAAGCCUGAUGCAGAAACGCCGCGUGCGGGAUGACGGCCUUCGGGUUGUAAACCGCUUUCGCCUGUGACGAAGCGUGAGUGACGGUAAUGGGUCAAGAAGCACCGGCUAACUACGUG
This 468-nucleotide ribosomal RNA is filed under the name uncultured bacterium. RNAcentral's name for it is "partial 16S ribosomal RNA". It matches the Rfam family "Bacterial small subunit ribosomal RNA", at positions 28 to 507 of the family's 1533-position model. The record is from RNAcentral.